RNAcentral lists this ribosomal RNA (952 nucleotides) under Pseudoxanthomonas sp. E4. RNAcentral's name for it is "bacterial SSU rRNA". It matches the Rfam family "Bacterial small subunit ribosomal RNA", at positions 54 to 993 of the family's 1533-position model. The record is from RNAcentral. Lineage: Bacteria; Pseudomonadati; Pseudomonadota; Gammaproteobacteria; Lysobacterales; Lysobacteraceae.
CAUGCAAGUCGAACGGCAGCGGGUAGGAAGCUUGCUUCCUAUGCCGGCGAGUGGCGGACGGGUGAGGAGCACAUCGGAAUCUACUCCGUCGUGGGGGAUAACGUAGGGAAACUUACGCUAAUACCGCAUACGACCUAAGGGUGAAAGUGGGGGACCGCAAGGCCUCACGCGAUGGAAUGAGCCGAUGUCCGAUUAGCUAGUUGGCGGGGUAAAGGCCCACCAAGGCGACGAUCGGUAGCUGGUCUGAGAGGAUGAUCAGCCACACUGGGACUGAGACACGGCCCAGACUCCUACGGGAGGCAGCAGUGGGGAAUAUUGGACAAUGGGCGAAAGCCUGAUCCAGCCAUGCCGCGUGGGUGAAGAAGGCCUUCGGGUUGUAAAGCCCUUUUGUUGGGGAAGAAAUCCUGCUGGCUAAUACCCGGCGGGGAUGACGGUACCCAAAGAAUAAGCACCGGCUAACUUCGUGCCAGCAGCCGCGGUAAUACGAAGGGUGCAAGCGUUACUCGGAAUUACUGGGCGUAAAGCGUGCGUAGGUGGUGGCUUAAGUCCGUUGUGAAAGCCCUGGGCUCAACCUGGGAAUUGCAGUGGAUACUGGGUCACUAGAGUGUGGUAGAGGGUGGCGGAAUUCCCGGUGUAGCAGUGAAAUGCGUAGAGAUCGGGAGGAACACCCGUGGCGAAGGCGGCCACCUGGGCCAACACUGACACUGAGGCACGAAAGCGUGGGGAGCAAACAGGAUUAGAUACCCUGGUAGUCCACGCCCUAAACGAUGCGAACUGGAUGUUGGGUUCAAUUUGGGACUCAGUAUCGAAGCUAACGCGUUAAGUUCGCCGCCUGGGGGAGUACGGUCGCAGACUGAAACUCAAAGGAUUUGACGGGGGCCCGCACAAGCGGUGAAGUAUGUGGUUAAUUCGAUGCAACGCGAAGAACCUUACCUGGUCUUGACAUCCGCGG